UAUGAAGUUUCAUGACUCUGUAGUUUAUGUUAAUUUUUUUAACUUUUAAUUUUUUUUUUUUUUUUGCCUCCACAGAAGCACCAACGGGAUCUGCAUCAAAAGCACCAUUGGCAGUUGUGUCAGCACCCCUUGCAGUUAUUUCAGAAGCACCAUUGGCAUCAGUGUCAG
Long non-coding RNA from Hydra vulgaris (swiftwater hydra), 168 nucleotides. RefSeq lists it as uncharacterized. Lineage: Eukaryota; Metazoa; Cnidaria; Hydrozoa; Anthoathecata; Hydridae. The record is from RefSeq and is a predicted model, not a curated record.